AGUCGCGUGUUCUAAUGGUUAUGAUUUGUCGUUCACAACUAUGUGAGCUAGUAGCUACUCUAGUAGUACCGACAAGGUUCCCGGUUCGAUCCCGGGCGCGACUA
Molecule: transfer RNA, 104 nt
Filed under: Aspergillus flavus
Lineage: Eukaryota; Fungi; Ascomycota; Eurotiomycetes; Eurotiales; Aspergillaceae
Also listed under: 1 other name
Description: tRNA-Val
Source: RNAcentral